Molecule: long non-coding RNA, 564 nt
Filed under: Penaeus japonicus
Lineage: Eukaryota; Metazoa; Arthropoda; Malacostraca; Decapoda; Penaeidae
Description: uncharacterized LOC122246376
Source: RNAcentral
AGUUCUCAAACGUGAGAUGAAUCUUAAUUACGAGCACAAAUUGCCCAGAUUAUACUAUUAGAUCGGCGUUUCUUACUAAUCUAAUAUAACCGAGUGAUGCACAAAAGGACGGACGAAAUGACUGCGAGUGGAAAUGUGAUUCGCCACCCCGAGAGAAAUAAAGAUGCUAAAAUAACUCCCGUGGUCGAGAGGUUGCGUCAUUGCGUGAAAAUCAGCUGUAGAAAUGGUUUAGGAUAUAGCAUAGCGUGAGUGUCUCUCGCCCGCCUCUACGGGUACACGGGAAACUCGAAGCAAGUCAGCUUACCACGUCCUGAGGUGUCUUGACUUCAUGAGACAAAGCAUGUGACUUUGCAUUAUCAUAAACAGGAAAUAAACGAGUCAUAGAAGCUGGUCCUAACUGGAUUUGUCUGGCAGGAUGGGGACGCAGGAGGACACGUCGGAUGAUGAGAUACAGGAGGCUUUCCUAAGCGAGGCAGGGACGAGCGCAACGGUGACCUCCAUAGGGAUGGGUCACAGCGAGAGCUACGGGGGCGGGGGAACAGGUGGCGGUGGAGGAGGAGGUGG